UUAAGCGACUAAGCGUACACGGUGGAUGCCCCGCAGUCAGAGGCGAUGAAGGACGUGCUAAUCUGCGAUAAGCGUCGGUGAGGUGAUAUGAACCGUUAUAACCGGCGAUUUCCGAAUGGGGAAACCCAGUGUGUUUCGACACACUAUCAUUAACUGAAUCCAUAGGUUAAUGAGGCGAACCGGGGGAACUGAAACAUCUAAGUACCCCGAGGAAAAGAAAUCAACCGAGAUUCCCCCAGUAGCGGCGAGCGAACGGGGAGGAGCCCAGAGCCUGAAUCAGUGUGUGUGUUAGUGGAAGCGUCUGGAAAGGCGCGCGAUACAGGGUGACAGCCCCGUAUACAAAAAAUGCACAUACUGUGAGCUCGAUGAGUAGGGCGGGACACGUGGUAUCCUGUCUGAAUAUGGGGGACCAUCCUCCAAGGCUAAAUACUCCUGACUGACCGAUAGUGAACCAGUACCGUGAGGGAAAGGCGAAAAGAACCCCGGCGAGGGGAGUGAAAAAGAACCUGAAACCGUGUACGUACAAGCAGUGGGAGCCUCUUAAUGGGGUGACUGCGUACCUUUUUUGUAUAAUGGGUCAGCGACUUAUAUUCUGUAGCAAGGUUAACCGAAUAGGGGAGCCGAAGGGAAACCGAGUCUUAACUGGGCGUUAAGUUGCAGGGUAUAGACCCGAAACCCGGUGAUCUAGCCAUGGGCAGGUUGAAGGUUGGGUAACACUAACUGGAGGACCGAACCGACUAAUGUUGAAAAAUUAGCGGAUGACUUGUGGCUGGGGGUGAAAGGCCAAUCAAACCGGGAGAUAGCUGGUUCUCCCCGAAAGCUAUUUAGGUAGCGCCUCGUGAAUUCAUCUCCGGGGGUAGAGCACUGUUUCGGCAAGGGGUCAUCCCGACUUACCAACCCGAUGCAAACUGCGAAUACCGGAGAAUGUUAUCACGGGAGACACACGGCGGGUGCUAACGUCCGUCGUGAAGAGGGAAACAACCCAGACCGCCAGCUAAGGUCCCAAAGUCAUGGUUAAGUGGGAAACGAUGUGGGAAGGCCCAGACAGCCAGGAUGUUGGCUUAGAAGCAGCCAUCAUUUAAAGAAAGCGUAAUAGCUCACUGGUCGAGUCGGCCUGCGCGGAAGAUGUAACGGGGCUAAACCAUGCACCGAAGCUGCGGCAGCGACACUAUGUGUUGUUGGGUAGGGGAGCGUUCUGUAAGCCUGUGAAGGUGUACUGUGAGGUAUGCUGGAGGUAUCAGAAGUGCGAAUGCUGACAUAAGUAACGAUAAAGCGGGUGAAAAGCCCGCUCGCCGGAAGACCAAGGGUUCCUGUCCAACGUUAAUCGGGGCAGGGUGAGUCGACCCCUAAGGCGAGGCCGAAAGGCGUAGUCGAUGGGAAACAGGUUAAUAUUCCUGUACUUGGUGUUACUGCGAAGGGGGGACGGAGAAGGCUAUGUUGGCCGGGCGACGGUUGUCCCGGUUUAAGCGUGUAGGCUGGUUUUCCAGGCAAAUCCGGAAAAUCAAGGCUGAGGCGUGAUGACGAGGCACUACGGUGCUGAAGCGACAAAUGCCCUGCUUCCAGGAAAAGCCUCUAAGCAUCAGGUAACAUCAAAUCGUACCCCAAACCGACACAGGUGGUCAGGUAGAGAAUACCAAGGCGCUUGAGAGAACUCGGGUGAAGGAACUAGGCAAAAUGGUGCCGUAACUUCGGGAGAAGGCACGCUGAUAUGUAGGUGAAGCGACUUGCUCGUGGAGCUGAAAUCAGUCGAAGAUACCAGCUGGCUGCAACUGUUUAUUAAAAACACAGCACUGUGCAAACACGAAAGUGGACGUAUACGGUGUGACGCCUGCCCGGUGCCGGAAGGUUAAUUGAUGGGGUUAGCGGUAACGCGAAGCUCUUGAUCGAAGCCCCGGUAAACGGCGGCCGUAACUAUAACGGUCCUAAGGUAGCGAAAUUCCUUGUCGGGUAAGUUCCGACCUGCACGAAUGGCGUAAUGAUGGCCAGGCUGUCUCCACCCGAGACUCAGUGAAAUUGAACUCGCUGUGAAGAUGCAGUGUACCCGCGGCAAGACGGAAAGACCCCGUGAACCUUUACUAUAGCUUGACACUGAACAUUGAGCCUUGAUGUGUAGGAUAGGUGGGAGGCUUUUGAAGUGUGGACGCCAGUCUGCAUGGAGCCGACCUUGAAAUACCACCCUUUAAUGUUUGAUGUUCUAACGUGGGCCCCUUACCGGGGUUGCGGACAGUGUCUGGUGGGUAGUUUGACUGGGGCGGUCUCCUCCUAAAGAGUAACGGAGGAGCACGAAGGUUGGCUAAUCCGGUCGGACAUCAGGAGGUUAGUGCAAUGGCAUAAGCCAGCUUGACUGCGAGCGUGACGGCGCGAGCAGGUGCGAAAGCAGGUCAUAGUGAUCCGGUGGUUCUGAAUGGAAGGGCCAUCGCUCAACGGAUAAAAGGUACUCCGGGGAUAACAGGCUGAUACCGCCCAAGAGUUCAUAUCGACGGCGGUGUUUGGCACCUCGAUGUCGGCUCAUCACAUCCUGGGGCUGAAGUAGGUCCCAAGGGUAUGGCUGUUCGCCAUUUAAAGUGGUACGCGAGCUGGGUUUAGAACGUCGUGAGACAGUUCGGUCCCUAUCUGCCGUGGGCGCUGGAGAACUGAGGGGGCUGCUCCUAGUACGAGAGGACCGGAGUGGACGCAUCACUGGUGUUCGGGUUGUCAUGCCAAUGGCACUGCCCGGUAGCUAAAUGCGGAAGAGAUAAGUGCUGAAAGCAUCUAAGCACGAAACUUGCCCCGAGAUGAGUUCUCCCUGACUCCUUGAGAGUCCUGAAGGAACGUUGAAGACGACGACGUUGAUAGGCCGGGUGUGUAAGCGCAGCGAUGCGUUGAGCUAACCGGUACUAAUGAACCGUGAGGCUUAACCU
This 2900-nucleotide ribosomal RNA is filed under the name Escherichia coli. RNAcentral describes it as "23S ribosomal RNA". It matches the Rfam family "Bacterial large subunit ribosomal RNA". Lineage: Bacteria; Pseudomonadati; Pseudomonadota; Gammaproteobacteria; Enterobacterales; Enterobacteriaceae. The record is from RNAcentral.